AUGGAUCAAGCGAUCAAGGGCACAGGGUGGAUGUCUAGGCACGGACUGGCGAUGAAGGACGUGGCAAGCUGCGAUAAGCCGGGGGUAGCUGCAAGCAAGCGUUAAUCCCCGGAUUUCCGAAUGGGGAAACCCGGCCGGGGUGAUGCCCGGUCAUCCCUUUGCUGAAUACAUAGGCGUUGGGAAGCGAACCGAGGGAACUGAAACAUCUAAGUACCUGGAGGAAAAGAAAACAACCGUGAUUCCCUCAGUAGCGGCGAGCGAACGGGGAAGAGCCCAAACCAUGGAGGUGUCAAGGCGGCAGC
RNAcentral lists this ribosomal RNA (302 nucleotides) under Gemmatimonadales bacterium. RNAcentral describes it as "partial 23S ribosomal RNA". It matches the Rfam family "Bacterial large subunit ribosomal RNA", at positions 1 to 310 of the family's 2925-position model. The record is from RNAcentral. Lineage: Bacteria; Pseudomonadati; Gemmatimonadota; Gemmatimonadia; Gemmatimonadales.